UACGUAGGGUGCGAGCGUUGUCCGGAAUUAUUGGGCGUAAAGAGCUCGUAGGCGGUCUGUUACGUCUGCUGUGAAAACCCAGGGCUUAACCCUGGGCUUGCAGUGGAUACGGGCAGACUAGAGGCAGGUAGGGGAGAAUGGAAUUCCCGGUGUAGCGGUGAAAUGCGCAGAUAUCGGGAGGAACACCGGUGGCGAAGGCGGUUCUCUGGGCCGUAACUGACGCUGAGGAGCGAAAGCAUGGGGAGCGAACAGG
This 253-nucleotide ribosomal RNA is filed under the name uncultured bacterium. RNAcentral's name for it is "partial 16S ribosomal RNA". It matches the Rfam family "Bacterial small subunit ribosomal RNA", at positions 524 to 776 of the family's 1533-position model. The record is from RNAcentral.